RNAcentral lists this ribosomal RNA (407 nucleotides) under uncultured bacterium. RNAcentral's name for it is "partial 16S ribosomal RNA". It matches the Rfam family "Bacterial small subunit ribosomal RNA", at positions 29 to 526 of the family's 1533-position model. The record is from RNAcentral.
AUUGAACGCUGGCGGCAGGCCUAACACAUGCAAGUCGAGCGGAGCGGCGGACGGGUGAGUAAUGCCUAGGAAGAUGCCUGGUAGUGGGGGAUAACGUCCGGAAACGGGCGCUAAUACCGCAUACUAUCAGAUGAGCCUAGGUCGGCUUAGAUAGUUGGUGGGGUAAGGGACUACCAAGGCGACGAUGCGGAACUGGUCUGAGAGGAUGACCAGCCACACUGGAACGGAGACACGGGCCAGACUCCUACGGGAGGCAGCAGGGGUGAAUAUUGCACAAUGGGCGCAAGCCGGAUGCAGCCAUGCCGCGUGUGGGAAGAAGGCCUUCGGGUUGUAAAGCACUUUCAGCGGGGAGGCGUUACCCGCAGAAGAAGCACCGGCUAACUCCGUGCCAGCAGCCGCGGUAAUUC